Molecule: long non-coding RNA, 4208 nt
Filed under: Homo sapiens (human)
Lineage: Eukaryota; Metazoa; Chordata; Mammalia; Primates; Hominidae
Description: LHRI_LNC2073.1
Source: RNAcentral
CUCGAUCUCCUGACCUCGUGAUCCGCCCGCCUCGGCCUCCCAAAGUGCUGGGAUUAUUUUUGUAUUUUUAGUAGAGACAGGGUUUCACCAUGUUGGUCCGGCUGGUCUCGAACUCCUGACCUCAGGUGAUCCACCCGCCUCGGCCUCCCAAAGUGCUGGGGUUACAGGUGUGAGCCACCACACCUGGUCUCAAACUUUUUAAAAAGUGUAUUUGUACCUGUGAUGUAUAUAAAUAGCAAAAAUUGUACCCAUACCAAAAUAUUAAUAGUGAUAUGAUUGUUUUUCAUUUUCUUUUUUAUAUUUUAUGUAUCCCAAUUAUUAAAACAAUAAACAUGUAUUUACAUUUAUAAUCAAGAAAAAGGGGGCCGGACGCGGUGGCUCAUGCCUGUAAUCCCAGCAUUUUGGGAGGCCGAGGUGGAUGGAUCACCCGAGGUCAGGAGUUCAAGACCAGCCUGGCCAAGAUGGUGAAACCCCGUCUCUACAAAAAUACAAAAAUUAGCCGAGCAUGAUGGUGAGUGUCUGUAAUCCCAGCUAGUUGGGAGGCUGAAGCAGGAGAAUUGCUUGAACCCGGGAGGCGGAGGUUGCAGUGAGCCAAGAUUGUGCCACUGCACUCUAACCUGGGCAACAGCGAGACUCUGUCUCAAAAAAAAAAAAAAAAGAAAAAAGGACCACAACCCUAAUAUGUAGUAAGGCUGUCAGAUCAUAUUUAAAUAUAUAAACAAAAUUUAAAUAUGAAAUUUAAAUUAAAUAGAUGUUAUUCUAGUACAUCACAGAAACCCAAAAGAAACUUUAGAUUUGACACGGCAUAAUCCUAGGCCAAUAUUCAGGAUUCUCCCACUGUGGGAUAAUGAAGAAGGGGACACAACUGCAGGAGAGAUUUUAAAAAUUUUGAGAGAAUACUAGGAGCAACCUCAUGCUGAAACAUACAAAAAUUCAGAUAAAACAAUAAUUUUUAAAAACCAGGAAAACUGCCAAAAUUGACUUAAGGAAUUUUUAAAGGCCUACAUGAAGAAAUUAGUAACAACAAUUGCUUAUUCUGCCACCCCCACAUACCUUAAAAGAUACUAGACCUAGAUGGUUUCUCAGGCAAGUAGUAUCAAACCUACAAAGAAACAGAUAAUCUCUGAUCUAUACAAACCUUUUAAGGACUGAAAAAAAAAAAGGGGCUAGUGCGGGGGCCAGGUACAAUGGCUCACACCUAUAAUCCCAGCACUUUGGGUGGCUGAGGUAGGAUAGCUUGAGGCCAAGAGUUCAAGACCAGACUAGGCAACAUAGCAAAACCCUGUCUCUACAAAAAAUUUAAAAAUUAGCAGGUUCUGGUGGUGUGCACCUGUAGUCCCUGCUACUUGGGAGGCUAAGGCAGGAGGAUAGCUUGAGCCCAGGAGUUCCAGGCUGCAGUGAGCUAUGAUCACAGCACUGUACUCCAGCAUGAGUGACAGAGUGAGAUCAUGUCUCUGAAAAAGAAAAGAAAAAGAAAAAAGGUAAGAGGUGCAGGAAGCUACCCAUUUAAUUUUAUGAGGCUAUGAUAUUAUCCUGAAACACUGGAAAAGGACAAUACAAUAAAAUUUUAGAUCAAUCUUUCUUAUGAAUGUACAUGCAAAAAAAUCCUAAAUAAAAGUACUAGGCAAACAUACUGGCAAACUGAAUCCAGCAGUAUACUGAACAAAACACACAGACACAGACACACUGCCUCUACUAUGACCAAGAAGGGCUUAUCCUGGGAAUAUAAGGCUUAACAUCAGAAUAUUAAUGAAACAUAUCAUAUUAAAGAAGAAAAAUCAGAUGCGGAGAAAGCAUUCAAUAAAAUUUAACACUACCUUAUGACUGAAACUAACAAAAACAACCUAGCAAAUCAGGAAUAAAAGUGAAUAUCACUAACUUGAUAUAAUGUAACUAUCACAACCUUACAGUAAACAUCAUGCUUAAUGAUCAGGUUAUAAAAAGCCUUCCCAUUAUAAUCAGGAGCAAGAGACGAAUGCCCUCUACUACCUUUAGUCAGCACUAUGUGGGGAUCUUACCCAACAAUACAAGGCAAGAAAAAUAAAAUGGAAACUAACUUAGACAAACUUAAAACUAUUAAAGAGUUCAACAAGGUGGCUGGACACAAGAUUUAUAAAUAUUAUUAGCAUUUCUAUACACUAGUAACAAACAGUUACAAAACUGAAAAUAAGAAAAGAUUCCAGUCACAAGAGACAUGAAAACUGUAAAUUAGACAUAACUCUAACCGAAAAAAAAAAAAUGCUAGUCCUUUAUGGAAAAAAUUAUAAAAAAAACACUGAAAGACAUUAAAGAAAAGAAAAAUUAUGUUCAUAAAUGGAAGCCUAAAUAUUGAAAAGAAGUCAGUUCUCUUUGUACUCCUGGGAAGACAGGAAGAAAAAAAAAAAAGUUGGUUCUCUCCUAUUAAUCUAAAAUGUAGUGCAAUUCCAAUAAAAAUCCCAUUAGAACUUGACAGGCUGAUCCUACAAUUCACAGGAAAAAGCAAAAGGCAAAGAAUAGCCAAGGCAAUUUUGAAGAAAAACAACAAGGCAGACAGGACUUGCCUACCUGUUUUCAGACUUGCUUAAAAGAGUGCAGAUAGGCAAACAGACCAAAGGAACAAAAUAAGAGAGUCCAGAAACAGGGCCCCUUCAUGUAUGGAAACUUGAGGGUGUGGUACACAUGAGAUACACAUCAGCAGGAAAGGUUGUAGACUUCAGUAAAUGGUGCUGGUCAAUUGGUUAUCCAUAUGGAAAAAAGAUAACAUUAUAUCCAAGCCUCACCAUACACAGAAACCAAAUCCAAGAGAAUUAAAAAUCUAGAUUAAAAAAGCAAGCUUUAGACUAUUUAGAAGAAGUUACACUUAAUGACUUGCUGCAUUGCCUUGUUCAUUCCCUUCAUAGCACGCAUCACAAUUUGUGAUGUAUUUGUUUAAUGUGUGCCUCCUUUUGUCUGCUUCCCUCAAAAAAUGGUAGAGAUUCCUUAAGUUAAUCCUCACCUACCCUCCCCCAAAAACAAACCCCUGAAUGACAGAAAAGACAAAUAGAUUUGACCACUUCAAAAUUAAAAUAUUAAAAUAUUUUUGUGGGGAAGGGGUGCUGGGGGCAGGGUCUCACUCUAUCUCCCAGACUGGAGCAAACAGAGCUCACUGCAGCCUUGACUACCUGGGCUCAAGCGAUUCUCCCACCUCAGCCUCCCAAAGUGCUAGGUUUACAGGUGCGAACCACCAUAUCUGGCCUAAAAUCUUCUAUUUAACAAAAAAACACCAAAAACAAAAUGCUAUGGUUUGGAUGUGGUUUAUUUGUCCCCACAAAAAUUAAUGUUGAAAUCUGAUCCCCAAGAUGGCUAUGUUGAGAGGUGGGGUUUGUGGAAUGUGUUUGGGUUUGAGGGGUGGAUCCCUCAGGAGUGCCUUGGUGCUGUUCUUGCAGUAGUGCGUGAGCUCUCACUCUUGCUCUGGGGAGUCUGGAUUAGUCCUUGAGGGAAUGGAUUAGUUCCUGCAAGGGUAGGCUGUUAUAAAGCCAGGAUGCUCUCAGGCUCUCCUCUGUUUGCAUGGGUUGGCUUCCCCUUUGAUUUCCACAUGUUAUAAUGCAGCACAACCCUUGCCAGAAGCCAGAGCCAUGCCCUUGAAUUUCUCAGUCUAUAGAACCAUGAGCUAAAUAAACCUCUUGUCUUUAUACAUUACCUAGUCUCAGGUAUUCUCUUAUAGCAAUGCAAAUCAGAGUCACAAAAUGAAAAGACAAGUCACAAGCUGGAAGAUAUUCACUACACACAUGUAACUGAUAGAAGAUUAGUAUUAAAAAUAUACAGAGAACUACAAAUACUUAAGGGAAAACAACUGAAGUUACCCAUCAGUAAGAAAAUGAGCACAGAAUAUGAACUGGCAGACAAUUCGCAGAAGACAACACAAAUGGCCAACAAACAUUUGAAAAUAUUCUCAACCUCACCAGUAAUCAGGAAAACACAAAAUCAAACAAAUACCACUUCACACCCAUCAAAUUGGCAAAAAGGAAAAGGUCUGACUAUGGAUCGAUUCAUCUUACACAACCACACUGGGGAGCAGUUACAGAGGUAUCUAUCAAAGAUGACAAUAUGUGUCCCCUUCAACCCAGCAGGUCCCCUCCUGGAGACAUUCUAACAUGUGAACCCAAUGAGACAGAUACCACAACGUUCACUGCAACACUGUAAUAGCAAAAAAUUGAUAACUAGCAGGAGAACAGAGAAACACACUGGGG